GUGCCAGCAGCCGCGGUAAUACGGAGGAUGCAAGCGUUAAUCGGAAUUACUGGGCGUAAAGCGCACGCAGGCGGAUUGUUAAGUCAGAUGUGAAAUCCCCGGGCUCAACCUGAGAACUGCAUCUGAUACUGGCAAGCUUGAGUCUCGUAGAGGGGGGUAGAAUUCCAGGUGUAGCGGUGAAAUGCGUAGAGAUCUGGAGGAAUACCGGUGGCGAAGGCGGCCCCCUGGACGAAGACUGACGCUCAGGUGCGAAAGCGUGGGGAGCAAACAGGAUUAGAUACCCUGGUAGUGC
This 292-nucleotide ribosomal RNA is filed under the name uncultured microorganism. RNAcentral describes it as "partial 16S ribosomal RNA". It matches the Rfam family "Bacterial small subunit ribosomal RNA", at positions 505 to 796 of the family's 1533-position model. The record is from RNAcentral.